AUGGACUGUCAGUCGGGCAAGAGGCUCUGGAGGUUUCUGGAGAACAGGCAAGGACAGGAGGCUCCCUCCUGGGAGAGGCAGCCAGGGGACGGGCCAGCGGUGUGGCAGCCGUGCCAGGGGGUCCUUCAGGAGGACUGGGUGCAGCUGCCUCUGGGCUCCUUGGAGGGGUCGCAGAGGGACUGUAGGCAGAGACCACCUCUGCCCCCACGCCGCGUGCGGUCUCCUGCCCCAGCUCAGAGCCCUCUUGCUGGUGGCGAUGAGCAGUUUCUGGGUCCAGGGACUCCUCGGCAGGAGAGGAACCAGGUAAAGAAAAGGGCUGGUGGGAGCAUCCUGUGGGUUCUGGGGCAGGACUCGGAGCUAUGGGGGAUGGAACCUCGGCUCCAGGCUCUGUUUGAGUCCCCGGGAUCCUGCUCAGGGGACAAGAGGCCUCUAGAGACAGGUCACGGGGAGGAGAGACCUCAGGGGCGACCAGAGCCAGCACAGUGGGACCCUCACGCUCUCCUUGUUCUAUGCAGCUCUCUUCUCCUCCUCGGCUGGGUGUGUCCCCCUCCCCGCCCUCUGGUUCCUCCUCCAGUGACCCCACUUCUUCCUCCUGCCCCUCUGCUGCCUUGGCUUCCCACUGUGCACCCGGAUCUUCGGGCUUUCCACUUCCUUUCUCUGACUUACUUGCUGAGCUUUGAUUCUCCCCGUCCUGAGCACCCACCUCAUUCUCCUCUGGCCCUGUUAACUCCCCCCCUUUCUGCUCCCCUUGUUCUGGAUCCCCGUGGCUCCAAGUCCUCCAGUCCCACUCCCCAUAACUUAGACCCCCCAACUCCUCCCCGCAGCACCACCCCUCUCUUUCUCCUGGAUCUUUGAGCACCAUGUCAUUUUGCAUCUGCUGCUGUUUCUGUCUCCCUUCUUCCUCUGCACCUUUAACCUGCUCUCCCAUCUGCUCUGGAGCCCCGGAAAGCCCAGCAGAGCCAGCAGCCUCUCCCUGAGGUCCCCCUUCCUCCAGCCUCUCAGUUCCCUGGAGACACACGAGGCCUGGACUUUCCUGCCUGGCAGGUCCACACCCGAGUCCUCCAGGGGAGGCAGGGGCGGAGGUUCAUGGAUCAUCAGGUCCAUGGGGGCUGCAGGGGCUGGGAGGAGCCACAGGCAGGAGACCCGGGGCAAAGGCCCAGUGCUUCGUGGGUCCCCACGGCUGACUGUCAGGGGCUGCCGCCGUGGCUGGAUUUGAAGCCGGUUCUC
RNAcentral lists this long non-coding RNA (1227 nucleotides) under Bos grunniens (domestic yak). Its description in RNAcentral is "lncRNA (ENSBGRG00000011664.1)". The record is from RNAcentral. Lineage: Eukaryota; Metazoa; Chordata; Mammalia; Artiodactyla; Bovidae.